This 497-nucleotide ribosomal RNA is filed under the name uncultured bacterium. RNAcentral describes it as "partial 16S ribosomal RNA". It matches the Rfam family "Bacterial small subunit ribosomal RNA", at positions 28 to 507 of the family's 1533-position model. The record is from RNAcentral.
GAUGAACGCUGGCGGCGUGCCGAAUACAUGCAAGUCGAGCGAACGGACGAGAAGCUUGCUUCUCUGAUGUUAGCGGCGGACGGGUGAGUAACACGUGGAUAACCUACCUAUAAGACUGGGAUAACUUCUGGAAACCGGAGCUAAUACCGGAGAAUAUUUUGAACCGGAUGGUUCAAAAGUGAAAGACGGUCUUGCUGUCAGUUAUAGAUGGAACCGCGCUGCAUUAGCUAGUUGGUAAGGUAACGGCUUACCAAGGCAACGAUGCAUAGCCGACCUGAGAGUGUGAUCGGCCACACUGGAACUGAUACACGGUCCAGACUCCUACGGGAGGCAGCAGUAGGGAAUCUUCCGCAAUGGUCGAAAGCCUGACGGAGCAACGCCGCGUGAGUGAUGAAGGUCUUCGGAUCGUAAAACUCUGUUAUUAGGGAAGAACAUAUGUGUAAGUAACUGUGCACAUCUUGACGGUACCUAAUCAGAAAGCCACGGCUAACUACGUG